This 386-nucleotide unclassified non-coding RNA is filed under the name soil metagenome. RNAcentral describes it as "partial contains 5.8S ribosomal RNA, internal transcribed spacer 2, and large subunit ribosomal RNA". The stretch from base 1 to 122 matches the Rfam family "5.8S ribosomal RNA", at positions 35 to 154 of the family's 154-position model. The record is from RNAcentral.
GAUGAAGAACGCAGCGAAAUGCGAUAAGUAAUGUGAAUUGCAGAAUUCAGUGAAUCAUCGAAUCUUUGAACGCACCUUGCACCCUUUGGACUGCUCCAAAGGGUAUGCUCGUUUGAGUGUCAUUGUACUCUCACACUCUCUGAUCCUUUGGAUUUGGGGAGCAGUGGACUUGGGUGCUUGCUGCUUCCUUGUGGCUCACCUGAAAUGCAUCAGUGCAUCUCUCGAUUGGACAUAGUACGGCGUGAUAAGUGUCUUCGCCGGCACCUCAUAUGAGGGUGGCCGAUCGGGAGCUCUGUGCUUUCAAACCGUCUUCGGACAACGCUGACAACUUGACCUCAAAUCGAGUAGGACUACCCGCUGAACUUAAGCAUAUCAAAAGCGGAGGA